UUCGACAUUGAGAACGUAAUCCGGAGUUCUCUUUCAACCAAGAAAGCGUGCGGACUUCAGUCAAAAACCUAUGAAGGUAUUUCUUAUUUAAAGAAAUCCUGCUUCAACUGCCAGUACUAGGCCCGUCCUUGGAUUUACGGGCUUCACCUCACCUGCUGGAUUCUCCACUUGUGCUGGGCCUACCUCGGAUACCAUUCUUGACCCAUUUGAUAACGCGCCCUAGGUUGCUUUGUUUCGUUCACUGCUUGUUGUAUUUUCGUUUCGGCUUUGUUUUGGUUUUGAUGUACUCAACUAUCUUGGGCCCGUUCCCAGAAUUCUUGACUCACUUUAUCAGACUUUAUGAGUUAUCUACUUGAUUUGAAUUUUAACCCUAACGUAAAUACCUGAGGCUCAACGUAAUGAUUUUUCAAACUUGG
Molecule: long non-coding RNA, 416 nt
Filed under: Prunus persica (peach)
Lineage: Eukaryota; Viridiplantae; Streptophyta; Magnoliopsida; Rosales; Rosaceae
Description: long non-coding RNA (PPER_LNC008247)
Source: RNAcentral